GACGAACGCUGGCGGCGCGCCUAACACAUGCAAGUCGAACGGGGUCUAUCAGAAAGCUUGCUUUCAGGCAGAUCUAGUGGCGGACGGGUGAGUAACACGUGAGCAACCUGCCCUUCAGAGGGGGAUAACGUCCGGAAACGGACGCUAAUACCGCAUAACAUCGCGAGAUGGCAUCAUCUUGCGAGCAAAGGAGAAAUCCGCUGAGGGAUGGGCUCGCGCCCGAUUAGGUAGUUGGUGGGGUAACGGCCCACCAAGCCCGCGAUCGGUAGCCGGACUGAGAGGUUGAACGGCCACAUUGGGACUGAGACACGGCCCAGACUCCUACGGGAGGCAGCAGUGGGGAAUAUUGCACAAUGGGGGAAACCCUGAUGCAGCGACGCCGCGUGAGUGAAGACGGCCUUCGGGUUGUAAAGCUCUGUUGUGGGGGACGAUAAUGACGGUACCCCAUCAGAAAGCCACGGCUAACUACGUGCCAGCAGCCGCCGUAACAC
This 491-nucleotide ribosomal RNA is filed under the name uncultured bacterium. Its description in RNAcentral is "bacterial SSU rRNA". It matches the Rfam family "Bacterial small subunit ribosomal RNA", at positions 28 to 526 of the family's 1533-position model. The record is from RNAcentral.